Molecule: unclassified non-coding RNA, 310 nt
Filed under: plant metagenome
Description: partial contains 5.8S ribosomal RNA, internal transcribed spacer 2, and large subunit ribosomal RNA
Rfam family: 5.8S ribosomal RNA (bases 1-105)
Source: RNAcentral
GAAAUGCGAUAAGUAGUGUGAAUUGCAGAAUUCAGUGAAUCAUCGAAUCUUUGAACGCACAUUGCGCCCCUUGGUAUUCCAUGGGGCAUGCCUGUUCGAGCGUCAUUUGUACCCUCAAGCUCUGCUUGGUGUUGGGUGUUUGUCCCCGUCUCCGCGCGUGGACUCGCCCCAAAGUGAUUGGCAGCCGGCUUACUGGUCCCGGAGCGCAGCACAUGUCGCGCAAACGAGUGCCUUGGUACGGCGGCGUCCAUAAGCCCCUCUCUCACGCUCUUGACCUCGGAUCAGGUAGGGAUACCCGCUGAACUUAAGC